UUUCCGUAGGUGAACCUGCGGAAGGAUCAUUAAAGAGAAUAUGCCCUUCGGGGUAGAUCUCCCACCCUUUGUUUAUAUUACCUUUGUUGCUUUGGCAGGCCCGUCUUCGGACCACCGGCUUUGGCUGGUCAGUGCUUGCCAGAGGACCCAAAACUCUUAUUAUUAAUGUCGUCUGAGUACUAUAUAAUAGUUAAAACUUUCAACAACGGAUCUCUUGGUUCUG
Molecule: unclassified non-coding RNA, 223 nt
Filed under: plant metagenome
Description: partial contains small subunit ribosomal RNA, internal transcribed spacer 1, and 5.8S ribosomal RNA
Source: RNAcentral